AGUAUAAGCACUAUACUGUGAAACUGCGAAUGGCUCAUUAAAUCAGUCAUAAUUUAUUUGAUAGUACCUUUACCUGGAUAACCGUGGUAAUUCUAGAGCUAAUACAUGCUAAAAACCUCGACUUCGGAAGGGGUGUAUUUAUUAGAUAAAAAACCAAUGCCCUUCGGGGCUCCUUGGUGAUUCAUAAUAACUUAACGAAUCGCAUGGCCUUGCGCCGGCGAUGGUUCAUUCAAAUUUCUGCCCUAUCAACUUUCGAUGGUAGAAUAGUGGUCUACCAUGGUUUCAACGGGUAACGGGGAAUUAGGGUUCUAUUCCGGAGAGGGAGCCUGAGAAACGGCUACCACAUCCAAGGAAGGCAGCAGGCGCGCAAAUUACCCAAUCCCGAUACGGGGAGGUAGUGACAAUAAAUACUGAUACAGGGCUCUUUCGGGUCUUGUAAUUGGAAUGAGUACAAUCUAAAUCCCUUAACGAGGAACAAUUGGAGGGCAAGUCUGGUGCCAGCAGCCGCGGUAAUUCCAGCUCCAAUAGCGUAUAUUAAAGUUGUUGCAGUUAAAAAGCUCGUAGUUGAACCUUGGGCCUGACCGAUCUGUCCUCCUAAUCGAGCGCACGGAUUCGGUUGGGCCUUUCCUUCUGGGGAGCCCUAUGCCCUUCACUGGGCGUAGUGGGGAACCAGGACUUUUACCUUGAAAAAAUUAGAGUGUUCAAAGCAGGCAUUUGCUCGAAUACAUUAGCAUGGAAUAAUAGAAUAGGACAUCGGUUCUAUUUUGUUGGUUUCUAGGACCGCUGUAAUGAUUAAUAGGGAUAGUCGGGGGCGUCAGUAUUCAAUUGUCAGAGGUGAAAUUCUUGGAUUUAUUGAAGACUAACUAUUGCGAAAGCAUUCGCCAAGGAUGUUUUCAUUAAUCAGUGAACGAAAGUUAGGGGAUCGAAGACGAUCAGAUACCGUCGUAGUCUUAACCAUAAACUAUGCCGACUAGGGAUCGGACGGUGGUUUUUUAUGCCCCGUUCGGCACCUUACGAGAAAUCAAAGUUUUUGGGCUCUGGGG
RNAcentral lists this ribosomal RNA (1043 nucleotides) under Cladophialophora globosa. RNAcentral's name for it is "SSU rRNA". It matches the Rfam family "Eukaryotic small subunit ribosomal RNA", at positions 62 to 1119 of the family's 1831-position model. The record is from RNAcentral. Lineage: Eukaryota; Fungi; Ascomycota; Eurotiomycetes; Chaetothyriales; Herpotrichiellaceae.